Molecule: long non-coding RNA, 628 nt
Organism: Serinus canaria (Common canary)
Lineage: Eukaryota; Metazoa; Chordata; Aves; Passeriformes; Fringillidae
Exons: 2
Source: RefSeq, a predicted model, not a curated record
AGGAAAACACAUGAGGGAGAAGCUUCUCAGCUUCUGCAAGCUGAGAAACUCCAUGGACAUCAUGCUAUACAAAUCCUUGCUUAGAAUCCUUCUAGAAAAAGGAAAGCCAGUCAGGCACAGUGCUCAUUCCUGCUGCUCUGCUCUCCCAAGGCUGGAAAGACACCUCCCCCCAAAAACUCAAAAUAAAGCAUUUCAAUCCAACUCAAGUACCAAGUAUUCAUUCCAGUUCUGGAGGGGCAGGAAAACACACAAGAGGGUGAGUUCUCCAAGCUGAGAAACUCCAUGGACAUCAUGUAUACAAAUCCUUGCUUGGAAUCAUUCUAGAAGAAGGAAAGCCAGUCAAGCACAGUGCUCAUUCCUGUUGCUCUGCUCUCCCAAGGCUGGAGAGACACCUCCCCCCAAAAACUCAAAACAUUUCAUUCCAACUCAAGUACCAAGAUCUUCUACAGUCCUACACAAACCCAGGCUACUGCUGCUGGCAUUCAAAGGGAGGACACAAAUCAAUAACUGACACUCGAGGUCUUGGAGCUGCUCCAAUGGAAAAUCCCUGCAGCUGGGCCAGACCUGCAGCCAGGAUUCAGUGCCAGGAUAAAAAGCAGAGGGUCAUUUCUCCACCAAACCAAACCCU